Molecule: ribosomal RNA, 59 nt
Filed under: uncultured fungus
Lineage: Eukaryota; Fungi
Description: partial 5.8S ribosomal RNA
Source: RNAcentral
AUAGAAACGCACUUAGCGCCCCUUGGUAUCCCGAGGGGCUGCCUGUUCAGCGCGUCAUU